UACAUGGGGUGCAAACGUUGCUCGGAAUUAUUGGGCGUAAAGCGCACGUAGGCGGUUUGUUAAGUCGGAUGUGAAAGCCCUUGGCUCAACCGGGGAAGUGCACUCGAAACUGCAAGGCUAGAGUCUCGGAGAGGAUCGUGGAAUUCUCGGUGUAGAGGUGAAAUUCGUAGAUAUCGAGAGGAACACCGGUGGCGAAGGCGGCGAUCUGGACGAUGACUGACGCUGAGACGCGAAAGCGUGGGGAUCAAACAGG
This 253-nucleotide ribosomal RNA is filed under the name uncultured bacterium. RNAcentral's name for it is "partial 16S ribosomal RNA". It matches the Rfam family "Bacterial small subunit ribosomal RNA", at positions 524 to 776 of the family's 1533-position model. The record is from RNAcentral.